Molecule: transfer RNA, 71 nt
Filed under: Escherichia coli
Lineage: Bacteria; Pseudomonadati; Pseudomonadota; Gammaproteobacteria; Enterobacterales; Enterobacteriaceae
Description: tRNA-Asn
Rfam family: tRNA
About the family: Transfer RNA (tRNA) molecules are approximately 80 nucleotides in length. Their secondary structure includes four short double-helical elements and three loops (D, anti-codon, and T loops).
Source: RNAcentral
GGGUCAGUCGUAGGUCAUUACGGAAGGCUGUUAACCUUCUUAUCGUGGUUCGAGUCCACGCUGUCCCGCCA